ACGUAGGGUGCGAGCGUUAAUCGGAAUUACUGGGCGUAAAGCGUGCGCAGGCGGUUUUGUAAGUCUGUCGUGAAAUCCCCGGGCUUAACCUGGGAAUGGCGAUGGAGACUGCAAGGCUGGAAUCUGGCAGAGGGGGGUAGAAUUCCACGUGUAGCAGUGAAAUGCGUAGAGAUGUGGAGGAACACCGAUGGCGAAGGCAGCCCCCUGGGCUAAGAUUGACGCUCAUGCACGAAAGCGUGGGGAGCAAACAGGA
This 253-nucleotide ribosomal RNA is filed under the name uncultured prokaryote. Its description in RNAcentral is "partial 16S ribosomal RNA". It matches the Rfam family "Bacterial small subunit ribosomal RNA", at positions 525 to 777 of the family's 1533-position model. The record is from RNAcentral.